AAUUAAUAAUUUGAUUUUGGUUAAAUUAUUUUAACUAUAAAUAAUAUUUAACAUGUUAUUUCCAUAAAUUUUAUAAAAAUCAGUAAUUAAUAUUAUUUGUUAUAAUGAUAAAUAUUUAUAAAGAUAUAUUUUGUAAGAUUGGAUAAAUUUGUGCCAGCAUCCGCGGUUACACUUAUGAUCAAAGUUAAAAUUUUUAGUAAAUAUAUAAUUAAAACAUAAACAUCAUAUUUUAUUUUAGGUAAAAUUAAUAAUAUUAUUUUAUUUUAUAAGUUAUAUGAAAUUUAAUUAUUUACACUAGGAUUAGAUACCCUAUUAUAUUAAGUAAUUUAAAUAAAAUACUAAGAGAUUAAUAGUUAUGAUCUUGAAAUUUAAAGAAUUUGGCGGUAAAUUAAUUUAUCUAGAGGAAUUUGUUAUUUAAUAGAUAUUACACUUUUAAUCUUACCUUAUUUAUAUGGUUUGUAUACCGCCGUUUAGAAUAUUUUUAGUGAAUUAAUUUUCUUUAAAUUAAAGUUAUUAAAUCAGGUCAAGGUGCAGCUUUUAGUAGGGUCUUAAAUGAAUUACAUUUUUUUGAAAAAAUGAACGGAUAUAUUUUCUGUAAGGAUUAUUUGAAGGAGGAUUUAGAAGUAAUUUUAUAAUUAGUAAGUUUAUUUGAAUAUUUAAUACUAAUUUAUGUACAUAUUGCCCGUCGCUCUCGUUGAUAAAAUGAGAUAAGUCGUAACAUAGUAGGGGUACUGGAAAGUGUUCCUUGCUUG
RNAcentral lists this non-coding RNA (752 nucleotides) under Rhynchothorax sp. JZ-2022. Lineage: Eukaryota; Metazoa; Arthropoda; Pycnogonida; Pantopoda; Tanystylidae. The record is from RNAcentral.